Molecule: long non-coding RNA, 1131 nt
Filed under: Brachypodium distachyon (stiff brome)
Lineage: Eukaryota; Viridiplantae; Streptophyta; Magnoliopsida; Poales; Poaceae
Description: long non-coding RNA (BDIS_LNC001375)
Source: RNAcentral
GUGAAUCAACCAAACCGACUGCGAGAUUUUUAACCCAGCCACGGGGUGAAUCUUUUUCUUUUUUUGAUCGGGCCACGCGGUGAAUCUACUAUGGCGGAACAGUCCGAAGCCAAAAGGACUUUUUUCUCUUUUCUUUUCCGGACGCCGAUUGGACGGGGACGAAAUGAUCGAACAGACGGCGGUGGGUGUGGGGCUGCAUCACCAGGAGACAUGCGCAUUAAAUCCCUCUCUGCUAGCUCCUGUGAACGCGAGGGAACACGGCCACAGCCAGGCCCCGCUUCUAGGCCCAUCUGACUCAGCCCAGAUUGGACUGCGAGUCCAUUUAACUCAAAGGAAAAAAAAAGGCAGAGCACGCCUCUGUUUCCCACGAUCGAGUCCAUGAGACAAAGAAACAACGAUUAGAGCAAGCACGAUCACGAUUUCAGAGGGCGCCCACCAAUUCUCACUGUUGCAGGUUUGAAGAAACAAACAGGGGCUUGACUCCAACAGUACGGCCGUGUUGAUCUUGCGAUGGCGAGGAGAAAGGCGCUCUCGCACUGCGAAAUUAAGUGAUUGGUCUCGGGUCUCAAUCUUUGCAGAAAGAAAGAGUGUUUACGUGCAUGCAUCAAUGCAUGUCUUACGUCGUUGCAUUGAUUUAAACUCACAUGGACGUCACCCGGGUCCUCUACAUUUGGGUUUUGACCGCUAGCUUGAGUAUAAGUGUUCACUAGCACGGCAGGCAAAGGUAAGUACCACAGUAAAAAUAGAACUCGCAAUUAGUUUUUUCUUUUCUUUUUUCGGAGCUCUCGUCGCGAUACAUUGGCUGGCAAGUCUCCAUGCACCGUACUGGUAGUACAGGAGAUGGUGUAGCACUGUAGCUGCUUAUAGUGGAAAUCUAAAUUGGAAUACAAAAAAUUUCAAUGCCUCGUGAAUUAAUGGACGUUUCGAUCACAACUAGUGCGUGGUGGUAGCCUUCCAACAAAAAUGAGGCCGGGUUUCAAAACCUUUUGCUAACAUAUUUGCACUGUAAUUUUAACAUUUGACUCGUUGGUUGCGAGACUUGUCCUAGAGGCAGGGAAUUUGAUACUCUAUGAUUUUAUCGCUUGUUAUAGCAUUAAGAUCAAGAGAAGUUUUCGUUUACAAAAAAUAUUG